CUUCGGGGGUAUAUAAAGUGGCGAAAGGGCGAGGACAACGUUCCUACGUACCCCGAGGUCGAGGAUAGCCCAGGGAAACUUGGAGUAAUACUCGAUGUGGUCUUCGGAUCAAAGAUUUAUCGCCUUGGGAGCGGGGAACGCCCUAUCAGGUUGUUGGUGAGGUAACGGCUCACCAAGCCUUAGACGGGUAGCGGGUGUGAGAGCAUGACCCGCCGCAUCGGGACUGAGACACUGCCCGGACUCCUACGGGAGGCUGCAGUAACGAAUAUUCCGCAAUGCGCGAAAGCGUGACGGAGCAAUGCCGCGUGCAGGAUGAAGCCCUUCGGGGUGUAAACUGCUGUCAGGGUUUAGGAAGUUCUGACCAAACCCAAAGGAAGGGCCGGCUAACUUCGUGCCAGCAGCCGCGGUAAUACGAAGGGCCCGAGCGUUACUCGGAAUCAUUGGGCUUAAAGCGUACGCAGGCGGAUGCGCAGGCGUCGUGUGAAAUCCCUCCGCUCAACGGAGGAACUGCACGGCGAACCGCGUGUCUUGAGACAAGAAGGGGCGA
RNAcentral lists this ribosomal RNA (547 nucleotides) under uncultured bacterium. RNAcentral's name for it is "bacterial SSU rRNA". It matches the Rfam family "Bacterial small subunit ribosomal RNA", at positions 78 to 660 of the family's 1533-position model. The record is from RNAcentral.